RNAcentral lists this ribosomal RNA (259 nucleotides) under uncultured bacterium. RNAcentral describes it as "partial 16S ribosomal RNA". It matches the Rfam family "Bacterial small subunit ribosomal RNA", at positions 524 to 777 of the family's 1533-position model. The record is from RNAcentral.
UACGAAGGGGGCUAGCGUUGCUCGGAAUCACUGGGCGUAAAGCGCACGUAGGCGGAUUGCUAAGUCAGGGGUGAAAUCCUGGAGCCUCGAACUCCAGAACUGCCUUUGAUACUGGCGACCUUGAGUCCGGGAGAGGUGAGUGGAACUGCGAGUGUAGAGGUGAAAUUCGUAGAUAUUCGGAAGAACACCAGUGGCGAAGGCGAACUUACUGGACGAUUGUUGACGCUGAGGUGCGGAAAAGCGUGGGGAGCAAACAGGG